ACUGUAUUGUAUACCUAAAAUGUACCAAUGAACUUAAUGAAUUAAAAAGGGUAGGAGAAAAAGGGAGAUACAGCAUAUAUGUAUAUGUGUGUAUAUGUGUUAUAUAUGUGCAUAUCCUGGAUCCUUUCCUUGAGUGAAACAUUUCAGGAACCGGGGUUGAGUCCUAGGUCCUGGUUAGUUUUCCCGGAUGUGAGAGCCUGCACAUAGGACAGGACAGCUCCAGUUCAUCCGGGUGUUUUCUGAUGUGACAAAAUUGAAGUUCAGCAGUGGGUUUUUUUUGUUUUUUGGUACGGGGGAUUGAACUCGGAUCCUUGUGCUUGCAAGGCAGGCGGUAGAACCACUGAGCUACAUCCCCGGCCCUCAGCAGAGUGGCUUUGAAGUGUGUUUUAGUGUCCCUUCCUCUUGGCAGGCCCUGUGUGGAGAUCUGGAGCAGUUCUUCGAUACCGCAGAUUAAACCCACGUGGGCAGUCAGCCGGGAGCGUUGUGUUCCCCGGGGCUCCACAAGAUCGCUGUCCUCGUGCCCAUUUUCCUGAAGAGGAAACAGAGGCAUGGAGGCUGGGUAACUUGCCCAAGUCCCUGUAGCUCUAGGCAGCCGGCAGGCACGAGGAUUACCCUGUGGUCUUUAGAAAUACCUUCCCCGACUUGAUUUCAGCACUUGAGGGAGAACUGGGUGCUGACAAGGGGACUCCGCCUCCAGCGCGGGCCAUGCAGCGAGUCGCAGCAGAAUCCACGUGAAUGGGAUGCCACACGGCUCGUGCAGGUUGGCCCGCAGGGAUUGCCAGCUCUAGCCUUUCAACCUGUGUGUGCUGUGGCCGGGCGUACUGUUACCAAGAUCCCAGGACAGUUCCUCUUCCCUCAGCAUGGCCUGGGCAGACAGAAGUCUGGACACUCGUGGUAGAAAUGGAGUUGUGCGCACUCGACCUUUCGUGUCUGCCCACCUCUGACUCCAGCACCAAGCAAACGCCCCAGAGGAGGAGCCCCUUCGACAUGGAGACGGCUCUGGGGGGCUUUGUCCUCACAGCACUGGGAAUUUGCGGCGAGCCCCGGGCGGCCCCUCCCUUCUCUCUGCUGCCUGACGCCGGGACGUGAGCAGCUCUCCUGCGCCACCCUCUGCUGUGCCGUUUCUGCCUUGGAGCCAGCUGACCUGGGCUGAAAAGUGAGCUGAAAUAACCUCUGUCCUUUAAGAUGAGGUGUCGGGUAUAAAGUUCCAGCACAGGGCAGUGACCGAGAUACCCCAUGAGACCUAAGCAGCAACCACCUCGUCCGUAGCUGCGCCUGGCAGCUGUUUAUGGGCCACAGGUGCAGCCCCGCCUGCCCCAGAGGCUGCUGGGUAGACCCGGGCAGCACCACGGUGGGCGCUGUGGGCUAUGGCAGCAGAAGGCCCAGCCGGGGCCUGAGCCAUCUGUCUGUCCCUGAAGAGGGCAGAGCACCCCGAUGUGUGGGCUCUGGGGCUCAGCAUGCCCCUGUGCACCCCCAGGGCAGCCUGGCAGGGGUCCUGCUUCAGUUUCCCUCCUGGCCUUUGGGGUCCCCGAGGACAGCACCCCUCUGUCUCUUGGGACAGCAAGGACUGGGGUUGCCCCACUGGAGCCUUGGGCCACAGGGCUUUUCUUCUUCACAGGCAGGGCUGAACAGCGCUGGCUUUCUGAGUCAGGCGUUGGGUUCCCACCUCAGGACUUGGGCCAGCCUUGCCACCCCGCCCCCCCCCCCCCGGCCUGGUGUGGGAGGAGCCAGGCUCCCAGAGCACAGUCAGAGUCACACCUGGGGCCUGGUGCAGGUUGGGGCAGCCUCCCUCCUGUUGUCCACACUCUCCACCUGGGCCUGGUGUGCAGCGGGAGGUGCUCUGGCUCCCCUGCAUUGCAUCUGCUGCCACAGCUGGGAAUAAAGCCUUCCCGAGGCGGCUCCUGCCUGCCCUGUGCCCGCCCAACUAGGAGGGGCAUUGUGCCGGGGGCCGGACAGCCUGCAGGACCCCGACACCCGCAGGGGAACUGCCCCUGGGACCCCAAACUGGGCAGUGGGAGGCAGAGGUCCGCAUCACGAGACACUGUGCACUCGGAGGAAGAGGACCCCAGGAUGGGACAGGUUGGACAGCUUGGGAAGGCCUGGUGGCGGUGGGCACUGGAAUCUCCACACGGUCCUCACAGGGAGAAGAGCUGUGACUCUGGGGCUUUUCCAAGGGGUGCUGUGCAUCCUGGGGUCUCCCCUGAGAAGCUGUGGCAGUGUUUCUAGGGACCUUGAGGUAGGACAAGCCUGGAAGUGUUUUCAGAGUUAUCAGCUUGGGAUUUCAAGACCCAGCAGUGGAAUGGAUUUUAACCCAGACCCAAGAAAAUACCUAGGUUUACAAAAGCCUUCUCUCCACCAGAGGGCAGGCCCAGGCGUGCCGCACCCUUACGCACUCUCCACAGUGACGGGCACAUUGUCCAGUCCCUGCUCAGCGCAGGCCUGGCCCCUUCCCCUUGUGACCACCAUAACCCAAGUCCCUUGGUACCUGGGGUUGGGAGAGCUUUCCCUCAAGCUGGGUGUCCACCACCCACUGAGCCCCGUUUUCCUGUUUCCUCCCCGUCUUUGGAGGAUUCUUAGACUUUCCUGCAUUUAAAGAUUUCCUGCUGUGGUUUAUCAAGCAUUUCCGGGGGACUCUUAGGUAGCUGGGAGAAGUUGCAAUUUGCUGGAAUCUAAAACCCUUUCCGCUUCCACCUUUGCACCUCCAUUCCAGCCUCACCACAGCCAGUGUGAUCUUUACAAAAAAAUGAAGCUUACUUUGCUUUCACUUGCAUAAAACCCUUCAGUGGUUUCAAGUAGCUUUGGGUUUAUGAUGACAGUUUUGAAAUCCCACAAACUUUCCCAUUUUUCUUCUAUGAUAAUUAGCACCCUCUCCCCCAUUGGAGCUACAGUGGUAGGAACAUGGCUCAUGUUGAGCCAAUCACUGGACUGCAAUUCCUAUGGACACGGUGACUGGGCCAAUGGGCAAGCAUGGGACCCAACUGGACCAAUCAGAAUCCUCCUCUGAUUUUUUUUCCCUCCAAAUUGGAGCUAGAAGGGGAACAUUCUCUUCCUUUUGGUUAUGAAGAUGCAGGCCUGCUGAAUAUCAGUGACUAUUUUCCUAUCAGAUUGAUAGAACCUGUCAGUGCAAGAGAGCAUGAGGCCAAUACAUAAGAAUCAGUUGAAAAGAAAAUCUUAACUUCUUUAUCAGUACUGAGGUUUGAACUCAGGCCCUCCUGCAUUCUAAGCAGACAUUCUACCCCUGAGCCAUAUCCUCAACCCCCAAGAAAGUCUUCACGACACGGUUUGAGCCCCCCGGAUCCACCUACUCCUGAAGCUCUUACCCCAGACUGUCCAGUUCUACAAACAAGUAUGUUGCUUUUUUGCUAAAACUAGUCAGAUGUAACAAAAACGUCUUUGCCAAUCAGGCCAGGUCCUAGCCACCACCCCGUGAGGGCCUGUGUCAGGUGACCCUUGUCUGUAGCCACUCUCACCUCACCCCAGUCUUCCAGGUCCCCGUGGCCACCCCUGCGGAGCUUCCUUCCGUUUCUCUUGUGUGUGUCUCCCUCUCUCUCAGGCCCUCUCACCUGCUGGUCUCCUGGCUCUCUGCCUGGCUGAUUCCUCCACAUCCUCCAGGGGCAUCCAGGUGGUGCAGGACUCUGUGAAACGCUCCCCGACUGCCGGCCAGGCCGGGCCCAUCCUCCACCUCCAUGAUGUCUCCACAGCUGGCUGCCUUCCUUCUAAGCAGGUGUCACAAGCCCUCUGUUUCCAAGGAGAUAAUUCCUCUUUGCAGUCCAUCUUCUCCAUGGGAUCAUCAGCCCCCCAGGGUCAGGACCAUUUGUGUCCAUAACUGUUCUGCACGGAGUGUGAGGCACAGCAUGUGUGCCCUGUGAUGUCUGUCAGCUGAUGCACAGGAAGAUGGAAUUGCAGCUCGUGAGCUUUUGAUUUCUGGUGCUUUUCACUAAUAGACAACACCAGCACCCUGCGCCACAACCUCCGUGGGCUCCUGGGGAAGCAGUGGGGUCUCUGCGUGCCACGGUCACCCUGGCCGCAGUGGCCCGUGUGCCCAGGAGGUGGCAGUGUUGCAACUCCCUGGCCGCCCAGGCCUCUGAGUUCGGUGAACCUGCCUCUUCAGCCUGGAACCCAGGCUCCAGGCCGGAAGGAAGCACAGUGUUUGUUUGUCCGAACACAAAUCCUGUCCGAGUCGCACGUCUGGAGGGAGCCUCUGGCUUCUCCCUCUGGUCAGGGGCCUGAUCUUCCCAGGACGGCUCAUCGUCACCCCAGCCACCAGCUCCCACAACUGCCCAGGGAGGGGCUGCUGGCUCCCCCUGGGGCUGUGUACGAGAAGCCCAAAGUAUAAAUAAUUUAAAAAUGAAUAAAAUAAAAGAUAGAUUA
Non-coding RNA from Heterocephalus glaber (naked mole-rat), 4371 nucleotides. The record is from RefSeq and is a predicted model, not a curated record. NCBI's taxonomy places the organism in Eukaryota, Metazoa, Chordata, Mammalia, Rodentia, Bathyergidae.